UUGCUUCUGACUCAGGGCUUCUCUCAGCCUCUCCUUGCAUGCUCCCCACCCUCUUCUCCCAAGCUGUCUGGGAUAAAAUCCUGCCAUUUAGUGUCAGUUCGAACUUGGAGCUGACUUCUUUGUCCCUCAGUUUGGUUUUCCCACCUGGAGCGAGAGGAUCCCAAUUGUCCUAGUGUAAACAGACUGCUCUGAGAAUUACAAAGGACACCGCACACUUUUUUCUUCCCUUUUGAAGAGGGUUCUCUCUGUGCGGCCUGGGAGGGAUGCCGACUGGUGAUCCACCUGCCUCAGCUUUAGGAGUGCUGGAGCCCUGGUGUCCGUCAAAGGGAUGUGUGCUGCUGUAAACUCCUGCCUGCUGCCCUGCUUUACCACCACGAUGGGCUGUAUCUCCUCAAAACACACUCGGUACCCCCUUGCAGUCUCCAUGGAUGCUGUCAGAAUCCUGUCUAGUAGCCUGACGGAUAGGAUCUAGCAGCCCUCCGGAGGUGUCCACUGUGUAUCCGUGACAUCAGAUUGCUUCGAGGAAUAAGACGAAAG
Long non-coding RNA from Mastomys coucha (southern multimammate mouse), 537 nucleotides. RefSeq lists it as uncharacterized. The record is from RefSeq and is a predicted model, not a curated record. NCBI's taxonomy places the organism in Eukaryota, Metazoa, Chordata, Mammalia, Rodentia, Muridae. The transcript is spliced from 3 exons.